GUGUCAGCAGCCGCGGUAAUACGUAGGUGGCAAGCGUUGUCCGGAUUUAUUGGGUUUAAAGGGUGCGUAGGCGGCCCUAUAAGUCAGUGCUGAAAUAUCCCGGCUUAACCGGGAGGGUGGCAUUGAUACUGUAGGGCUUGAGUGUAGUCGAGGUAGGCGGAAUUGACGGUGUAGCGGUGAAAUGCUUAGAUAUCGUCAAGAACACCGAUAGUGUAGACAGCUUACUAGGCUACAACUGACGCUGAGGCACGAAAGUGUGGGGAUCAAACAGGAUUAGAAACCCCUGUAGUCC
This 292-nucleotide ribosomal RNA is filed under the name uncultured bacterium. Its description in RNAcentral is "partial 16S ribosomal RNA". It matches the Rfam family "Bacterial small subunit ribosomal RNA", at positions 505 to 796 of the family's 1533-position model. The record is from RNAcentral.